UACGUAGGGUGCAAGCGUUAAUCGGAAUUACUGGGCGUAAAGCGCGUGUAGGCGGCAACGCAAGUCGGGCGUGAAAUCCCAUGGCUCAACCAUGGAAGUGCACUCGAAACUGCGUCGCUAGAGUCCUGGAGAGGAAGGUGGAAUGCUUGGUGUAGAGGUGAAAUUCGUAGAUAUCAAGCGGAACACCGGUGGCGAAGGCGGCCUUCUGGACAGUGACUGACGCUGAGACGCGAAAGCGUGGGGAGCAAACAGG
RNAcentral lists this ribosomal RNA (253 nucleotides) under uncultured bacterium. Its description in RNAcentral is "partial 16S ribosomal RNA". It matches the Rfam family "Bacterial small subunit ribosomal RNA", at positions 524 to 776 of the family's 1533-position model. The record is from RNAcentral.